RNAcentral lists this ribosomal RNA (369 nucleotides) under uncultured Anaerolineaceae bacterium. RNAcentral describes it as "bacterial SSU rRNA". It matches the Rfam family "Bacterial small subunit ribosomal RNA", at positions 1003 to 1382 of the family's 1533-position model. The record is from RNAcentral. Lineage: Bacteria; Bacillati; Chloroflexota; Anaerolineae; Anaerolineales; Anaerolineaceae.
AAACUAGGACCGACCCUUCCGGGAGGCUUGAACAGGUGGCUGCAUGGCGUGUCGUCAGCUCGUGUCGUGAGAUGUUCGGUUAAGUCCGCUAACGAGCGCAACCCUCGCUGUGUGUUACAAGUGUCACACGGAACUGCCGGUCAUAAACCGGAGGAAGGUGGGGAUGACGUCAAGUCAGCAUGGCCUUUAUAUCCUGGGCUACACACACGCUACAAUGGGAAGGGACAAUAGGUUGCGAAACCGCGAGGUGGAGCCAAUCCAGCAAAACUUCCCUCAGUUCAGAUUGCAGGCUGCAGCUCGCCUGCAUGAAGUUGGAGUUGCUAGUAAACGCAGGUCAGCCAUACUGCGUUGAAUACGUUCCCGGGGCUU